RNAcentral lists this ribosomal RNA (494 nucleotides) under uncultured bacterium. RNAcentral's name for it is "bacterial SSU rRNA". It matches the Rfam family "Bacterial small subunit ribosomal RNA", at positions 899 to 1397 of the family's 1533-position model. The record is from RNAcentral.
ACUCAAAGGAAUUGACGGGGACCCGCACAAGCAGCGGAGCAUGUGGUUUAAUUCGAAGCAACGCGAAGAACCUUACCAGGGCUUGACAUCCCUCUGAAUGCUGUGUAACGGCAGCAGCCUUCGGGCAGAGGAGACAGGUGGUGCAUGGUUGUCGUCAGCUCGUGUCGUGAGAUGUUGGGUUAAGUCCCGCAACGAGCGCAACCCUUGUCAUUAGUUGCCAUCAUUAAGUUGGGCACUCUAAUGAGACUGCCGGGGAUAACUCGGAGGAAGGUGGGGAUGACGUCAAAUCAUCAUGCCCCUUAUGUUCUGGGCUACACACGUGCUACAAUGGCCGGUACAACGAGAAGCAAGGGAGCGAUCCGGAGCAAAUCUCAAAAACCGGUCCCAGUUCGGAUUGCAGGCUGAAACCCGCCUGCAUGAAGCCGGAGUUGCUAGUAAUCGCAGAUCAGAAUGCUGCGGUGAAUGCGUUCCCGGGUCUUGUACACACCGCCCGU